Molecule: ribosomal RNA, 468 nt
Filed under: uncultured bacterium
Lineage: Bacteria
Description: partial 16S ribosomal RNA
Rfam family: Bacterial small subunit ribosomal RNA
Source: RNAcentral
GACGAACGCUGGCGGCGUGCUUAACACAUGCAAGUCGAACGGAAAGGCCCUGCUUUUGUGGGUUGCUCGAUUGGCGAACGGGUGAGUAACACGUGAGUAACCUGCCCUUGACUUUGGGAUAACUCCAGGAAACUGGGGCUAAAACCGGAGAGGAGCUCCUGCUGCAUGUUGGGGGUUGGAAAGUUUCGGCGGUGGGGGAUGGACUGGCGGCUUAUCAGCUUGUUGGUGGGGUAGUGGCUUACCAGGGCUUUGACGGGUAGCCGGCCUGAGAGGGUGACCGGCCACAUUGGGACUGAGAUACGGCCCAGACUCCUACGGGAGGCAGCAGUGGGGAAUAUUGCACAAUGGGCGGAAGCCUGAUGCAGCAACGCCGCGUGCGGGAUGACGGCCUUCGGGUUGUAAACCGCUUUCGCCUGUGACGAAGCGUGAGUGACGGUAAUGGGUAAAGAAGCACCGGCUAACUACGUG